This is a long non-coding RNA of Peromyscus californicus insignis, 3122 nucleotides long. RefSeq lists it as uncharacterized. The transcript is spliced from 3 exons. NCBI's taxonomy places the organism in Eukaryota, Metazoa, Chordata, Mammalia, Rodentia, Cricetidae. The record is from RefSeq and is a predicted model, not a curated record.
UGUCUGGGAUGGGAGGGAGGACCCAGGGUGCUCUUACCCUACAGUAGAUUUGGUCCCUUUAAGACAGGGGUUCUUGAGUUCACAGGCUUUGUCUGUGGAGACUGGCAGAGUCAGUUUUGUCCCUGGCCCUAUAAUUACUGGUAUUGCAGCUUUGAGUCAUUUAUCAGCAAGUAGUCCAGGGAGAGCGUUUUAAAGGAAGCAGGGGAAGGUGGAAGAAACCUUUGUCCUGGGCCUCAGGCUGCAGCUGGGUCCGCUGUGCUGUGCAGAGAAAGAGCUGUGGGUCAGCUGCAUGUUCCACAGUGGCAGGAUUCCUGUUGACAGCAUCGUGAGUCUGUGGGCACCAGUGUGCAGAGAGAAGAGCAGGAAGAAAAGAAAUGGCCCUGGCUGUGGUCUGCAGGGACAGCAGCCUUCCUUCCCCAUGUCUUUAGAGGGAGGGGGAUGGCCUGGAGCAGUGAGCACGUGAUGUAGGGUGGUGUGAGUGGUUCAUUUAUUUGGUCUGUCACUUGAGCAGACUUAGACCCUGCAUGUAAAGAGAGGGGGUGCUGGCACAUGGAUCGGGGGCCUUGACACACCACAGUGUGCAGAGAGGCCCAGUGAUCAGGGUCCCAGGGAGCUGGAGUAAAGAAGUGAAGGCUUCCUGGAGAGAGGAGAAGAGAGAUAGCAAAGGCCUGCCACAACCUGGAUUCUACACCCUGGGCUGCAGCCAUUUUUCUUGCCAACCAUUCAUGCUCUUCCAGAGCCAGCUCUAGGAUGCCCACUUUAGGCACAGGUGUGCCUUUUAUCCCCCCUGACAAAAAACAUCUGGAUUCCGUGCUGACAAGGCUGCGUGGUUCUUCCCACCUGGGCCGGAAGCUGACCACCCCAGCUCCGGGCAGCAGCGGCUCAGGCUGUCCUGAGCUUUAGGCAGAAGAGUGAAGAUCUCCAACAACAUCUGUGCUCGGGCUUCCUAAGCUGCCAGCGGCUUGUGUGGAGAGAAGAUUCCAGAGGCAUGGGCUGUCACCCGGAACUCUGGGCUGGGGGAUGUCAUUCAAGCAAAGCCUUGAGGUCACCUCUGUCAGCCAGGCCUGGCAAGUUGAGUUACAGUGGAGGGGGAAUGUGUUUUACCCUAAGCUACAUCUCCAGCUCCAAGAGAGACCGUGGAGAGUUAAGUGAUUCAGAAAGGCCAGAGCUGGGGAUUGAGCCAAGCCUCUGUGCUGACCAUGCGGCCAGAAGCGCUGUGUCUGCUUAUCUCCCCAUCCCUGGGUCUGGCUACCUUGUCUUACGAGCACUUUACAGGCAAGUGGAGCUCUAGGCCUGAUCUGGAAGGCCUGGUGCCCGGCAUGGGAGUGGUGGGGGCUCCCUGGGCAGUGGCCAGAUGUGUCCAGAUACCAGCUUUCCUUGGGAACCAACAACCUUCUAAGGAAGGGCUCUCUUCUUUAACUUCAAUUCCUCGUUUGUGUACCUUUUCAAGGACAACACUGAUUCUGUAAGACGUUAAGCUGAAUAGAAUAGAGAAGUUAACCAUGGUCCAUUAAUAAUGUUCUUUUGUCCCCUAGAAAGCUUCAUCUGAGAUGUGUGUGAGUGUAAUUUAUAUGUGUGAUAGAAAAAUGACUAGGAGAGAACCCUGUCAGGCUGCUCUUAAGUCAAAGGAAACUCCAUUAGAAAUUCAUCUAUCCUAUUCAGCCUUGCCUGCCAGGAAGCUCCCAGCCAAUCAUGAAGUUCUCAUAGAAGUAGUGGCUUCCUUCUUGUGGGCCCAGGGUUUCUUUCAUGGCCCAGAUUGUCUUUACAAGUCAUUUUUGUUUGAAUGGUUAUCACAGAAUUCAAAGGACCUUGACUUCUGUUUAGAAACUGCAUAUUCAAAAAGCUUUCUUUGGCUCCCUGAUAUAGAGACUUCUCUCUUGGUGUCACAGUCUGAGUGUGUGUGGGAAGAGCUGUGUCCCAUAGCAUGCCAGGCAUCAGUCUGGAGGCCGAAGGAAGAAUGUUCCUGACCAUUCUGCCUUUCAGGGCAUAUGGUGAGCACAGAGCUGCUGGUUCACUAGAACAGGAGGGUCUUCCCUGACAUGAGUGGGGUUUGCCCAGACACAGUCAGGCAUUUCCAUCCCUGCCCCGCUGUGAAAGCCUGGGCUGUUAGUCCAGCUAGUGUACCCAGGACUCCACCAGGAUGUCACUUUUCUUAGGGAGAUGAGGCCGGGCUGCUGUGACUGCCCAGGCUGGUCAUCCUUCCUGCCCCUUGCUCAUUGUCCUUUCAUUUUACGAGAAGAAGACACACUUGGCACCUGUCCAGAAUGUCACAACAUUGCCCAGACUAUAAAAGAUUCGAGAGCAGCAAAUGGACCUGUUAAGAACGGGUAGCCCCGAGCGGAGGCAGAGAGAAAAGCACAGGUCACCGAGAGGGAUUCGGUUGGCAAAGGCAUGGCAGCACAGCGUGUCAUUGAGUGCCUCUUUCCUCAUCCCACGUCACUGCAGUCACCCACCAUCACUCACCCAUCCAUCCCGAUGCCCACUCAUCUAUCCAUCACAAAAGUGACAUUCUGAAUUCCAUAGACCUCGGGCCUGGACUUUUCAGUUUAGUUUUCCCUAGUGGUAUGUGGUCUGAUACUAUGCAGCGCCAUUGGCUCCUGUGAUCAGGAGGGUAGAUGGUGGAUAUCGGCUGUGCCCCGAGUCUCCCUAGGUGGUGGUGUCUGGUAGGUUGGGGACCCACUGUAGGUGGGGGAGCACUGUGAUUUGUACCUGCUAGACUUGUGAGGCCAUUUUGACUUAAAGAGAUGCAAGAAACACGUGGCUGUCAUGUUUUUAGGGGACAGAACUAUUAUAAAAAAAGUCUUGUGUUGUGGUAGUUUGCAUGUAAUUGGGCCCUUUAAUCUUAUAGGGCAUGGCACUAUUAGGAGGUGUGGCUUUGUUGGAGUGAAUAUGGCCUUGUUGGAGGAAGUGUGCCACUGUGGGGGCUUUGAGGUUUCCUAUGCUCACGAUACCGCCCAGUGUGUCAAUCGACUUCUGUUGUCUGGAAGAUGUAGGACUCUCUCAGCUUCUACUCCAGCACCACAUCUACCUGCAUGAUGCCAUGCUCCCUGUCAUGAUGAUAAUGGACUGAAUUGCUGAAACUAUAAGCGAGCUACCCCAGUUAAAUGUUUUCCUUUAUAAGA